CCGACUCUAAUAAGCUCUUAUAAUUCAAAUGACUCUGAUAAAGAAAAGAAUAUUACAGCGGUUACCAUUUACAAAAGCUCCCCCACUUGACCAAUUUGCACAGAGAUUCAUUGUAUUCUCCCUCGCUCUCUCUCUUCACCCAAACCGCAUUCAAAGGUCUGAGCCUCUCGCCUCGAACAAAUCCAAUGAACACACAUGAAACUUUCCCUUAUAAAAACCAGCUAUCCCUCUCCAUUCAUAGUAAAUGCCUCCUUUAGAGUGAGAAAAGCCCCCUCUCUAGUAUGCUGAUCUAGAGAGAGAAAACCCAUCUUUCCUGAGAGAGAAAGGACAAGGCUCCUCAAGACCCAACUUUCCUAACAUUCUCCAAGAGGGAGAACAACCCAGUUUCUUAGAGAGAGAAGAAACCAAUUUCAGGUGGCCAAACUCUAGAGCGAGAAAAUUGGGUUACAUUGGAAGUGACUUUCUAGAGAGAGAAAAUGGUACCCAUUUUGAAUAUUGCAGAGAGUUGUCUCUCGUUUGCAGUAUCUGUGGUACUAAUCCUCUACCUUCUUCUGGUUAUAAUGGAGUCUUCAUGGAACAACAGGGCCUCAUGUUUACCACCUGAUUCUUGCUUCCCCGUUUCCGGCGAUUUGGUGGGAAGUUGGAGGCCUCUAUGGCCGGAAUCUGACCCACUUGCCGGAAAAUUGGUUAGAGCAAGCUCCCAAAUAGCUGAGAUUUUGAGAUAAGAGUUCUUAAACAGAGGCCUCUUUCUUGCCGGAAUCUGACAAAUCUCGCUGGAAAAAGCGAUUGGCUUUCCCCAUAUUUGGCCGGAAAGAUUAGAUGGGUUGCUUUCCCGAUAACCGUGGAGAAUUUCCGGCGAUUUCUUGCCCUUUGUAUGAUUAUGAUGAAAGGUUUUCGGGGACAAAAUUUGAGACUUUGAUGGACGGCGAGGAUGAGAGUCUGGGAGGCCGGGAAGGAAACCUGAGCUGUUGGAUCUCGAGAGGUUUGGCGAUGAACGAACGGCUGGAUUCAAUUUCGUGCGAUGCUGUGCGAGGGUUGUCUUUUUGUCUUUUUUAAUAUUAAGGGAUUAUCAUUUGUAUAUGGGCGACUGAGAUUCUAUAUUGUAAAUCUAUUAGAGAUCAGAACCGUCGGACGUAGUAAUAAGCCAUCUGAUGGACGGUCUCGAUUAUUUUAUUAUUUAAUUUGUCCCUUGCGAUUGAAUGGUUGAAAUGAAAUUGAUGUGCCUUUUUGUGGGUCCUACUAA
Molecule: long non-coding RNA, 1243 nt
Filed under: Amborella trichopoda
Lineage: Eukaryota; Viridiplantae; Streptophyta; Magnoliopsida; Amborellales; Amborellaceae
Description: long non-coding RNA (ATRI_LNC002723)
Source: RNAcentral